CAGGUAUACUUAUUGUGUAUCUAAUUUAUAUUUUAAUAUAUUUAACAUCUACUGGUCAUCCUGCCAUCUAGGGGAGGGGCUGGGCGGGGGGGGGUAAGAGGUAAAAAAUUGGAACAAGAGGUUUGGCAAUUGUUAAUGCUGUAAAGUUACCCAUGUAUAUAUCCUGUAAAUAAAAGGCUAUUAAAUAAAAAAAAAAAGAAAUAUAUGCAUUGCAAUGCAUUUGAAAUAAAAUAUUAUUGGUCCUACUUUCAGUGGCAUAUUUUGCUAUCAUUAUAACCUGAUUCAUUAUAUCUCCCUAGAUCUCAGUUUUCUAUAAUGGACUUCUGUUUCAGCUCUAUUUCUUAGAAUGGAAUAUUCUAAUAUAAAAAGAAUAGAAUAGCUUCCUUCACAGCUUAGAUCAGACCUUAGUCUAGUGGUAUAAGAAACUGAAUUAAGGCUCCAGUCUCUUCAGGAGCAUGGAUCUCACCAUUGCCAAGUAAUAAAUGUUUCGAAUAUAGGGUGGCUUUUAAGAUUUGUACCUUUGAUGUGAAGGUUGCUGAACCCUUUUCAGGGCUGCUUUCCACCUCUGGCAACUUAUCUGAUUCACCCAACCAUCAGCCAUGGCUCCAAAAAGCUGUUGCAUGGAUAAUGGUCAUGCCCUGGUAAACUGAUUUGGUCAACAGGUUAAAACAGGUUAAGGGUAACUGAAAAAUCUGAAAUUCUUCAGUGAGUUCCAGGGGAGGGGGGGGGGUGUUUAACCUAAGUGUGUGAAGACUUUCCUCAGCAAAUGGAGACAUGAGAAGAAAUUGUUCCAGUGAUCAUGAAGGUGGCUGAAGCAGGUGAUAUAAAGGACCUAGAGCAUGAUUAAGAAUUGAAAAUGUCAAGGUCAUCCACUGGAUCCCCAAGCCCCAUUUGUCUUAACUCUGUCUUGUCCCUGGACUGUGACGAUUCUGAAAUUUGGUCGUCUACCCGCUGUAUCCAUCAUUCUCAGUUCAGACUUACAGGCCCAAAAUUAAGCUCUUCCUGUACAGUAUAAUCUGAAGAAUUGGCCACAGUGAAUUUUUCAAGAGCAGAGCUGGGAGCAGAGCCAGCCCAGAGCUCUCCCUUUCUCAUGAGCCCCCUCCCACUGAGAAGGGAACCUGGCUCCCAGUUAUUAUAACCCACAUUUUACAAUUGAGGAAACUGAGGUUACAUUGAUGUGGUGCAACUCCUAGGGAGGAUAUAGCAACAACCCUAAGGCUACCUGGCCUUGGGAGUGAUCUAGUUAAAAAUAAUAUAUUUCUAUCUGACCACGGUGCUAUGGCCACAAAUACUGCCUACUGUCAGAUAACAGCCUGUUGGUCAGUAAUAAUAGAGUUUCUGAGACUAAUAAGCAACAAUAAUGAAGUGACUCAGGCAAAGAACAAUAUUCUUUUUAGCCUAAAAACAUACCCCUGUAAAGCACAUCUCUCCCACCCCUCUACCUCACCUAACUCCCGGCAGCUCUGCCCAGAGAAUUAUGGAUAUUGUGCCAAUGCACAAAGUCAGAACCAGACCACUUCUCAACCCCACUUCUAAGUCAUAAAAGUAACACAUCAGUGACAAGAAGCUCCUGGUUUCUAAAUUUUUCCUAUAAAUUUAUCUUCUUGCCCCUAGUUCUUUGCUAACUUCUUUUAGAACUUGACCCACUUUAAUUGGUGUUUCAAUUAUAAUAAACUUUGCCCCUUGAUUUGGAGAUGGGUGGGAGUCUGCAAAUUCUUUUGACAUCUCUUGACCUUGGUUUGUAAUCCCAACCUUUUGGGGGCCCCCUUGAAUCUCAACAAUAUGAUUUGUUCAGGGUCACACAGCCAAUAAGUAGAUGAGACUGGAUUUGAACUUGUCUUUUAGACUCUGUGCCUAGCAUUCUAACCAAUAUACCACCUAGCUGCCUCUAAUUUUAUUUGGGGGCUUAGUAAGAGAAAAUGAAGGAGGUAGGCAGCUCAAGGAAUAGAGUAUCAGGACUGAAUACAAAUGUGGCCUCAGACACUUCAAGACCUUGGGCAAGUCAUGUAACCCUAUUUGCCUCAUCAACUGAAAUGACUGAACAAAAAAGGAAAUGAGAAUAAUUUUUUAAAAUUCAAUUCCACAAAUAUUUAUUAAAUGUAUAUAAUGUGUAAAAUACUAUGUCAAGUUCUGAGGAUAUAAAGAUAAAACAAUCUAAUCCCUCAAGCUCCUUAAAUUUAUAUAGUUAGAUUUAUUGACAAAAUACCUUAACAAGUGAGGAAACAGAUCUGGCUUGCCUCAAGUCACAGAAUAGUUAAUAGAGUUCAGAAUUGAACCCAGGUCCUAGAGCCCUCCUUUCUCUACAUACUAGCUGCCUCUCAAAGUCCAAAAUGUCAGUAAUUGAAUGAUUCUAUUGACACAGCCAUUCUUGUAGAGGUACUCCACUGAUGGAGAAUACAAAUUGUCCCUUUCUCAUCCUGGGAGAUUUUUGUUUAUUCGGUUGUUUCUGAUUCACCAUGACCUUAUUUGGAUUUUCUUGGCAAAGAUACUAGAAUGGUUUGUCAUUUCCUUCUCUCCCCACCCAGUCCUACCCACCAACCCCCAUAACCUUAUUUGGAGGGCAUGUUUCAGGAAGUACCAUACCCUUACCUACAGAUGCACUUAAUAUCAUUUUUUUUUCUCUUUUGCACUUCUGAACACUUCCAAGAUAUGGAAGUUUAGAUUUCUUUCUUAAGAAACAAGCCAUAGUAAACCAAAAACUAGUGUGAUUCUCAUUGGCCACCAACAGGUCCUCUGCCAAGACCCAUUUGGUCACUGUUUGGGUUCUGAUUGACUUAGACUGAAUGUAAAUGGCAAUCUUUUCUAUUUUGGUCAGGAUUCCUGAGGUCUUUCACUCAUAAAUAUAGAUAUAGAUAUAAAAUAUAGAGAGAUAUAGAUAUUUAUCUACAUAUAUCUAUAGAUAGAUAGAUAGAUAGAUCUGAAUGGGUGUUACCUCAGUCAAACUGAGACUUGUUGAAGACCUUGGCUUAAAAGGCCAGUGUCUCUCAUUUCACCCAGGCUAUCUCCAGUCAUCCUGAUCUGCAUCUUGGCACUGGACCUAGAUGGCUAUGGAAGGGAAAGUUAAAGUAGGUGAUCUUGCACAGGUCAUUUUAGCUCAUUUGGCACCUUAAAUCCCACAUUUCUGUAAUGGGUAGCAUUUUUCAUCGUCAGCCCUGGAAUCAUUUUUGAUCAUUGUAUUGAUGAGAGUUCAUAGAGCUUUCAAAAUCAUUUCUUCUAUGGAUUGGAGAGGGCUGAAUGUGGAGGCAAAAUGAUCAAUGGGGAGGACAUGAAAUAAUUCAGGGAAGAGGCAAUUAAGAGUUAAAAAAAACAAACAAACACAAAUAUACAACAGAAAGAGUGUGAAUCACUGAGACAUUCCAAAGACCUAAGGAAUAAUAUUUCCUUAGAAAAUUUUGUCAACCUGCACAAAGAAGAUGCAUUUAGCAUAAGAAGGGAAGCAGUUCAGUGGAGAGAAAAAAGGUCUUUAUAUCAGAUUUCUUUGAUAAGAUUUUGGUAUACAAGAUAUGUAAACAACUGAGAGAUCAUAACAAACAAGAGAUUACAGCAUUUGUGUGUGAUAUGUAUUAUAUGUAUAUAUAAAUGUGUGUAUAAAUGUGUAUGUGUGUAUAUAUAAAUAUAUCUAUGUCUGUGUACAUGUGUGCACAUAUAUCUAUAUAUGUGUGUAUAUCAUUUAUUAUCUUUGUUCAAUCAUUGUCAACUCCUCAUCUUUACAUGACUCCAUGCAUUGGGUUCUCUUAGUAAAAAUACUGAAAGGGUUUCACAUUUCUUACUACAGUGUAUCCUUAUUUUGCAGAUGAGGAACUGAGGUAAAAAGGGAUAAAUGACUUGUCCAGGGUCAAACAAUUAGCAAAUGUCUGAGGGUGGAUUUGAACUCAAAUCUUCCUAACUCCAGACCAAUGUUCUAAUCAUUGCACUACCUAGCUGUCUACAAUAUAUAGAGAAAUAGAAUAUAUAAUGUAUGUAUACAUAUGUGUACAUAUAUACAUAUGUGUACAUAUAUACAUAUGUGUAUAUUUAUAUACUAUAUAUACAUGUAUGUAUGUUAUGUAUGUGGUACAUGUGUGUAUACGUGUAUAUAAACAUGGGUGUAUGUAUACACACAUACACACAUGCCAUUUCCCAAUAGAGAGUAGUCAGAAGAUAUGAAUAAACAGUUCUCAAAAGAAAAAUUGCAAAGUACUGACAAUAUAAGAAAGAAUGCUCCAAAUCAUUAAUAAGAAAAGAAAUGCAAAUUAAAACAAUAAUCAAAGUUAGUUUUAAUAUAGUAUUUUAAGGCAGCUGGGGGCAGAAUGGAAAAAGUCAUGGGCCUGGAGUCAGGAACACACCUGAGCUCAGAUAUACGCCAAAGUGCUUACUACAGUGCUGAUACAUAGUUAGCAUUUAAUAAAAAUACUUGUUCCCUUUCCUUUUUAAGAUUUGCAAAAUGUUUUACAAAUAUUAUUUCAUUUUAUCCUUGCAAAAACCCUGGGAGAUUGGUGUUGUUAUUGUUCCCAUUUUACAGAUGGGAAAAUUAAGACAGAAAGAUGUUAAGUAAUAUACUUGGGGCCACAAGGUAGAUUUUAACUCAGGAUUUCCUGACUCCUAGUCCAAGAAAACAUCUACUAUGUCACACUCACUCACACACACACACACACACACACAUAUAAUAGCUCUGAGAUUUCACUUCACACCAAGCAAAUUGAGAAAAAUGGCCCAAAAUGAGACUAGUCAGUGUUGGGGAAUCUUGAAAAGAUGGACACCAAAGGACUAUAAAACUGUGCAUACCCUUUAAUCUAACAAUAUCAUUACUAGGUCUGUCAAAAGAGAUUAUAAAAGAGGGAAAUGGAAAUGUACAAAAAUAUUUGUAACAGCUCUUUUUGUGGUGGCAAAGAAUUGGAAAAUGUGUGGAUAUCCAUCAAUUGGAGAAAUGCUUGAAUAAAUUAUGGUAUAUGAAUGUAAUGAAAUACUACUGUUGUAUAAGAAACGAUGAGCAGAUUGAUUUCAAAAAAGACUAGAAAGUCUUAUAUGAACUGAUGCUGAGUGGAAUAAGAACCAGGAAAACAUUAUACACAGCAAAAACAAGUGUGUGAUAAUCAACCAUGAUACACUUAGUUCUUUUCAGCAAUACAAUGACCCAAGGUAAUUCCAAUAAACUUUGAAUGGAAAAUGCUAUUCACAUCCACAGAGUGGAUAAUCUAAACAUAUGAUUUUCACUUUUAUUUUGUUUUGUUUUGUUUUUUGUUCUGAUUUUUCUUUCCCAAUAUGGCUCAUUUAGAAAUUUGUUAAAAUGAAUAUAAACAUAUAAUCUAUAUCAGAUUGCUUAUUAACAUGGGGAUAAAGGAGGUAAGGAAGGAAAGAAGAAAAAAAUUGUAACUCAAAAUCUCAAAAAAAAAAUGAAUGUUGAAACACAUCUCUAUCUGUAAUUGGAAAAAUAAUAUACUGUUAAAAUUUAAAAGGCACAUUUUUUAUCAUUAUCACUUUUUAUUGACAGAACAUAUAUGCAUAUGGGUAAUUUUUCAACACUGACCCUUGCAAACACUUCUGUUCCAACUUUUCCCUUCCUUCCCUCCACCUCCUCCCCUAGAUGGCAGGCAAUCUCAUACAUGUUAAACAUGUUAAAGUAUAUCUUAAAUACAAUAUAUAUGUAUAUAUUUAUACAGUUCUCUUGUUGCACAAGAAAAAUCAAAUUUAGAAAGGUAAAAAUAACCUGGGAAGAAAAACAAAAAUUCAAGCAAACAACAGCAGAAAGAGUGUAAAUGCUAAAUUGUGGUCCACACUCAUUUCCCAGUGCUCUUUCACUGGGUGUAGCUGGUUCUGUUAAUUACUGAUCAAUUAGAAUUGAAUUGGACCCUCUCACUGCCAAAGAUAGCCGCUUCCAUCAGAACUGAUCCUCAUAUAGUAUUGUUGUUGAAGUGUAUAAUGAUCUCCUGGUUCUGCUCAUUUCACUUAGCAUCAGUUCAUGUAAGUCUCUCCAAACCUCUCUGUAUUCAUCCUGCUGGUCAUUUCUUACAGAACAAUAAUAUUCCGUAAAUUCAUAUACCAUAAUUUACCCAGCCAUCCUCCAAUUGAUGGGCAUCCAUUCAAUUUCCAGUUUCUAGCCACUAUAAACAGGGCUACCACAAACAUUUUGGCACAUGUGGGUCCCUUUCCCUUCCUUAAUAUCUCUUUGGAAUAUAAGCCCAGUAGUAACACUUCUGGAUCAAAGGGUAUGCACAGUUUGAUAACUUUUUGAAUACAGUUCCAAAUUUUUCUCCAAAAUGGUUGGAUCUGUUUACAAGUCCACCAACAAUAAAUAGAUCAGUGUCCCAGAAAAAGACACAUUAUCUUAAAAAAAAAGAAAAGAAAAGAAAAGAAAAGAAAGAAAGAAAGAAAGAAAGAAAGAAAGAAAGAAAGAAAGAAAGAAAGAAAGAAAGAAAGAAAGAAAAAAGAUAAGACAAGCACAUAUUUCAUUAAUAGGCUCAUGUGCCAUGAAGGUAAAAGAAAAGUCCCCUACAAACCAAAAUUUUUAUAGCAGCACUUUUCAAAAUAUAUCUGCCUCAAAAAAAGAGUUAGGGGGAGUAAAGAAGAUAACCAUAGAUUAAAGAAUUACUAAAUAAAUUAUGCUGAUGGUGGUGAUGGCAGUUAUUGUUGCUAUUGCUGUUGCUAAGGGGCAAUUAUAUCACACAUUAGAUAGAAUGCCAGGCCUGAAAUCAAGAAGAUUUCUCUUCCUGAGUUAAAAUCUGGCCUCAGACACUUACUAGCUGUAUGACCCUGGACAAGCCACUUAACCCUGUUUGACUCAGUUCUUCAUCUAUAAAAUGAGAAGGAAAUGACAAACCACUGCAGUAUCAAAGAAUCAGACAUGGCUCUGCCACAACAUCAUCCUGGACUGCCAAGUCUCAGCAUCUGGGAAAGCUGUAACAAUGACCUAGAAAAGUUGGAACCUCCUGAGUGGGCUAAAGCAAUCAGAAAUGUCAGCGAUAUCUCCAAACUCCAGAACCCCUAGUUUGUCCUUAAACAUGGGUCAAUUUAACUCCUCAAUCACAUGCUUGGCCAGCAAUCCUGUGGAUCAGAGAAAAAUCACCUUAUUCCUGAAGUAUAUCUGUGCUCUGAGGGACAUCUUUGCUUCAAACAAAGUCCCUCAGGGAAGGUGUGAUGGAUUCCAGAAUGGGGAGAGAGAUGGAAAGAAGGGGAGUUUUAGUGGAAAAGUUGGAUAAUUCAUACCACAUAAGAAUUGUGGAAGUAGGAAUUUGGCACAACUGCUCAGGCUCACCCUUUCUCUGGAACUAAGGGAGAAAUGAUCUUGUCCCAUACCCCAGUUAACUUCCCCUAGUGAGGCUUUUGGGUGCCAUUCCAGUGAAAUGGGAGCCAUCUGGUCUUUCUGUGCUUUCCUAGAAGUGAAGGAUGAGGGAUGAGGUCUGGACAUCAAUGGGAAAUAACUUUGGUGUCUUCAGGAAUAUAUCUGAUCUACUUUGAUAAUUAAGCUAUUAAUUCUAUUUUGGCUGGAACCUAUAUUAUCUUAUGUUUGUAUAUUACCAACCCAACACAGUGUGUUAUACAUACUAGGACCUAAUAAAAGUUGAUUGCUUGAUCUCUCUGGAUAUAAUCUCUUGAUAUCUAUAAUAGUUACUAGCUUUUUUGUUAUUGCUGUUGUUGUUCACAGUCACAUCCAACUCUUUAUGACUCUAUUUGGGAUUUUCUUAACAAAGAUACUGGCGUGGCUUGUCAGGCAAUCAAAUUCAAAACUCAAAAGAUUAUCAAUUCCAGUCCCAAGAGAGUUUAUCUCUAAUAGCAAAUUCUACUCAUUGCAGCUUAGGACUAGAUAUACUAUUUAAAAGACUUUUUGUUUUUUGUUUAACAUAUUUUAUAUGUUUAAACUUAUCCUGGUGCAAAAGAUCAAUCAUUAAACAAGCUUAUAGGUUCUCAGUAAACACAUUCCUUGUUUAGAAACUUUAAAUUCUGAACAGGCUCAUUUCUCAGGGCUGAUGACCUUGUUUAUCUUGAUGGUUUCAAGAAAACUGACAAAUGGGGCAGCUAAGUGGUGCACUGGAUAGAGCAUCAGCCCUGAAGUCAGUAGGACCUGAGUUCAAAUGUGGUCUUAGACACUUAACACUUCCUAGCUGUGUGAUCCUGGAUAAGUCACUUAACUCCAAUUGCCUCAGCAAAAAAAGAAAAGAAAAGAAAAGAAAGAAAGAAAGAAAGAAAGAAAGAAAGAAAGAAAGAAAGAAAGAAAGAAAGAAAGAAAGAAAGAAAGAAAGAAAGAAAGAAAGAAAGAAAGAAAGAAAGAAAGAAAGAACUGGCAAGUUUAAAAAUUAGGGAGGAGUUGACAAAGACUCCAGGGAAGGGGGUUAGCUUACUGUUGCCCACCCCAACUAUUCUUAAUGUUUUCAUGGUCUGUGCUGUUUAAUACUUCCCCCCACUCUGUGAAGGGGGAAAAAGGUGUUCACUUGGAGGUGAACUAAUAAGGCUUUCAUCUCAUCCCUCUUGUUUCACAUACAGUAAUUGCCAAUUUUAGGUUUAAUAUGAUGGCAAUAACUUCAAAUAAUUUAGUUAACAAUUUUAGAAUUUUCCUAAUAGCCAAUAUUAGUCUUAUAAUAAUAAUAAUAAUUACAUAUAUUAUAUAAAUAUAUGUAAUUAUAAAACAAUAAUUAUAUAAUAAUAUUAAAUACUUAUAGUAAUAAUAAUAAAGUCUUAGCUGUAAUUUCUAUUGCCUUAAAUAAGUUUCUCUUUUGUUUUAGGGAGAAACAAGACAGUUCUUAAAAUUGAGAUAGAACAGAUUUACAUGAAAUUUUGCCAAAACCUUAUCAUACAGCAUUUUGUCUCCUCUGGCAUCUCAGAGAAGGUGAAAAGAUGGCAAAGUUUCCCUAGGACCUUUGCCAAAAAUUGCAAGAAUUUCCAAGUUUUGGUGUCUCCAGUCAAAAAAAAACUUGCUGAGUAUAGAGCUCAUGAUGACCCAAACAAGCUUUCUCCCAGCGGCUUGGGGUGUCCCAGUUAUAGAACUGAGGGAGAAAAAAAUUGGGGGGCUUACCUUGACAAGGAGGGAAUCAAGCCAAUGGAGGCCAGACUCUAGCUGAACCAGGCCACCAAAUGUUGAGAUUGGGAAGGAAUCUCAAAAGGUUGGGGUCACAGACUGAUGUCAUCAGGUGUCUCAAAAGGGUUUGCAGGUUUGAACCUAUAUCCAAAUCAAGGGGGGAAAUGUAUUGCAGUUGUAAUGCCAAUUGAAAUGGUCUGAAUUCCAAGAGAGUUUAGCAAGGAACCUGAAGCAAGAACAUUUAUCUAGUUCUUCGUGUUAUUGAUAUGCUAAUUUUAUGGCCUAGAGGUAGAACUGAGGAGUGGUCUCAGGAUUGAUUAUCACUGACCAGAAGACUUUAGAAUCUCUGACAGACAAGAUUGUCAAAACAAUCAUAUUCUAAGGUUAGAGAGUCUCAGAAUCACUAAUAUAUCUUCCCUAAAACCUAAGGGAAAAAAAUAUUUUAUUCCUAGGUCAGAAGACUUUUACUGUCAUUGACAGAACAAUAGCAUUUUUAGAUCAGAGGGCCUCAGGAUCACAGAUUUCAAAGCCAAAAAAUUUAGAAUCACUGACAGACUGUUAGAACAGAAGUACCCUAAGGUCAGGAGACCUUAAAAUUAUUGCUGUCUCCAACAAGAUGAAUACAGAGAAGCUUGGAGAGAAUUACAUGAACUGAUGCUAAGUGAAAUGAGCAGAACCAAGAGAUCAUUAUAUACGUCAACAACAAUACUGUAUGAAGAUGUAAUCUGAUGGAAGUGGAUUUCUUUGACAAAGAGACCUAAUUCAGUUUCAAUUGAUUAAUGAUGGACAGAAGCAGCUAUACCCAAAGAAAAAACACUGGGAAAUGAAUGUAAACUGUUUGCAUUUUUGUUUUUCUUCCCGGGUUGUUUCUACCUUCUGAAUCCAAUUCUCCCUGUGCAACAAGAAAACUGUUUGGAUCUGCACACAUACAUUGUAUCUAGGAUAUACUAGGACAUAUUCAACAUAUAUAGGACUGCUUGCCAACUAGGGGAGGGGGGUGGGAGGGAAAAAUAGGAACAGAAGUGAGUGCAAGGGAUAAUGUUGUAAAAAAAAAAUUACCCUGGCAUGGAUUCUGUCAAUAAAAAGUUAAAAAAAAAAAAUUAUUGCUGUCUCCCCUAGAAGAUAUAUUCCACAAGUAUGAGAGAGGAGGAAGUACAUGGGUAGUGAGUGGGUAGAGUGGUAACUAGCCCCCUUUUCUUUAACCUUACCUUCCCAAUAACAGAAGAAGAGGAAACUCACUACUUGAGAAGGACCUUGUCUCAAUUCUUUCCUAUUCUUUUCCAAAAGUCUGCUACCCCACCUAAUUUCUUGCACAUACUUCUUGAAAUACACAGUCAGUGACUGAAGGAAGAAUGUAGAGGGCCACAGAUAGUGGGGGAACUCUGGGUAACGUAUAAGACCCUUCAGCCCAGAGAGAACCUGCUGAUAAUGUCUGGUUCAGCUCCCCAUGUCCUUUUGGUGCUCUCCUCUUUCCUGAGAAAUCAAGGAGGGGGUGACUACCUGUGUUCUACUUGAAGCAAGGAAAACUUAAAGUAAGGGUGUAUUUACAUAUCAAUAGCAGGGUGCUUUUUUAUUUUUAAGUUAUUUAACACUUACCCAGUGUGCUGUGGUGAUGUGGUGAUGUAAUGGUUCUACAAUUGGCACAUGCUCAGUGUGCUGUAGUGAUAUAAUCACUGAGAGGACUUGAAAUUAACUCCAUCUUUGACCAUCCUCAUGGGUUCCUGCUUCAUCACUCCUCCCUUAAGACCAAGAACUCGGGCCAGUCCGAGAUCCUCCAGAGAGCUAGUCCAGACCAUAUAUUUUGGCACCCCAACUUGGGGGCUCUAGAAAGCACACUAUAGGAGUGUUUCUUCAUGUCUUUCAAGAACAAAGUCAGAGCUGCCCUUACAGAUACAGAAUGACAAUGGAAAGGAAUGAAAGGAAACUUCUGCCCCAUUAACAUCCCCAUCAUUCAUGUUCUUUUACAGGAGGACUCUGGUGAGAUUCACAUUCAAAGUUGUAUGCACCUCAAAGGCUUUUUUACUCACAUUACUCACAUAAAGUGGUCUGGUUGAGAAAUCCAACCCCUUGCUGCCUUUCCCUCUAUAUUCUCAUUCUUUAUAACAGUAAUUCUCCAAAUUUUUGGUCAAGACACUAAUACUCUUAAAAAUUAUUCUUAAAAGAUGGAGAAUCUCCACUUCCAGAAGUUUCAUUUAUAUGAAAUUUACUAGAAUCUAUAUUAGACAUUUAAACAUUUUAAUAUUUUUAUGAAACUUGUUUAGACUUCCCUUUCUCUUGAAAGUGUCUCUGGAAGUUCCAGGAGACCUCAAACCAUACUUUGAGAACCAAUAAUAGUGACCUCUAGAUUUUUUUUUUAUUAUCAUAAACCUUUCAGCAAAAACCCCAGUACUAUCUGCCACCACCCCACUUUAACCCCUUGGAAUAUACAAUCAGGUAAUAUUUAGACAGGUUGCAUCUUUUUAUUUCCUAAGAUUUCCCCAAGUUAUAGGUCUGGACAAGGAGCCAAAUAUCUGCCAUUAGUCAUUUUAAUUAGGACCAGGCAGGGCAUAAGAAAGCUCCUAAGUGAAUCACAGACACACCCACGCCCCCCAAAAAAAAAUCACUCCCAGAGAGAGACCAAUGGAAAAACAACGAGACCGGAAGAGCUAUGAUCCUUAAGAAGCACCACGCCGUUGAUCAUAGUCUGCUUGCAGCCAGUCUGCGAGGAACCGGAGCGGGAGCGCUGAAAGCGAGAGCCCAGCCCAGCAGGACAAGCCCGCCGGUCCAAAUAGGUUUUAGGCAGGGAAUCAGCGCCGCUAAUUGUCAAAGGCCGACGGAGCCAGAGGACUGAACCCCAGCAGCAGUUACUUUUAUGUGUCUUCGAUUUACCCGGUCUGGAUUGCCCCGGUUCUGGGUGUUCGUCUUUGUCUUCAUGCUUUUAAGACGCAAUGAUGCCUCAGCAGAGGAAGAAUCUUUUCUGAGAAGGAACCAGGGAGAGUCUAUCCUGUUCCACAUAGGCAAAGAUUUUGGAAAUAAGACUCUAUCGAUUGAAUGGAAUUUUCUGACUGAGAAUAUACGCCUACUCAAACUCUGGCCAGAUCAAAGCAAGCCAAUGUGGAUCAAUACUCAGCAGAGAUUCAAAAGCAGACUAUUUAUACAUGACUUAAGUUCUCUGAUGAUCACAAAUCUGACCUCUAAAGAUAGUGGAAAUUAUGAAGCUCACAUUAAAUCAGUCUUGGGAAAGGUGAAUAUCCAAAAUUUCAUAUUAACUGUUUCAGGUAUUGACUUUCUUCUGAGACAUGGAUCGGCCCAUCUGAAGCUUUGAUAGCAGACAGCACGGCUAAGCCCAUUCCCUCCAUGGACAGAGCCUCUCCUUAGCAGGAAGCAGGGGGAAUGGGAAAAUGGUUGAAUCAUUGUUAAAAUUUUAACUGUAUUACUGUGUUUAAGAUUUGUUAAAAUUGGGAUUUGUUAAAACUGUUUAACUAUUGCUGUAUGUUUGAGGGAUUUUUAGGAAACUUACUGUGCUAUCUGUUAUGUAUAGGAAUUGUGAUUCACUCUUGGGAUUUAUAUGUGGAAUAAUCAUUUGAUAAUUUCUUUUCCUUGAAAAGAAAAAAAAAAGGAGGAAGAAAACUGGUUCAAAAUUGGUCAGGAAAUUGGUAAAAACUGAUGUAUAUUUCUUAGGCACUUCUGCCCUCCUCCCUAUCUCAUUAGUUCAGAUUGAAUUGGAAAUUAUUUAACUCCUUGCUUAAAAUUUACUGGACUAUGAUUUGCUGGUUAUGUUUUAACUUUGAAAUCCCUUAUUCUGCUGGAAUCGCCCUUGCCCUGCUAAACUCAGUUUGAGGGAUUAUUUUUUAGAAACAACCAGGAAUCAGAUACCUGUCCUGGGACUGGCAGUCUCUCGAAUCUGUUUCUCCACUCCUGUUACCCCAGUUCCUUAAUUAGUAUUUCAACAUACUUAAAAGAACCUAGCAGCACUGAUAUGAGGACUCUAAUAGUUCUGGGUUGCCUGCCUUGAUCUAACUGCAUAAUUUUCUCAAAAAUGUGUUUCCUAGUAACAGCUUCUGUUCUAUUGAGAGGGGACAGAUGGAGCUACUCCAGGACCCACUUUUUCCCUCUUUAGAGUCCCUAACAGACUUGGGAUGCCCUCUUAGGAUGGGCAGCAAAACUGUCUUGAACACUGCUACUCCCUAUAUAAUCAGAGCUGAGUUAAUGCACAAAUGACCCCAGACCUAACUCACAGUGAACUGUCCAUCUCAAACUGGAUUCUCCGGCUGAGAUGCUCCCCAGCUGCAGAGGACCUGCUAUUUCUGAAACAGGGAGGCCUGUGUGCCUCCCUAAAUGAGAAAUGCUGUUUUUAUGCUAAUAACUCUGGGGUUAUCAGGGAGAGACUUGUCCUUGCAAAAUCCUUGCAUUUUUCUAGAUUUAGUCUGGUUUAUUUGCUUUACAUAGGGUUGAUAAAAAUUAUAAUGCUAAUGAUUCUAGAGGAAGGAAAUUCAAUGAUUUGAACAUUCAGAAGAGAGUGAGGAAUGUUAUGCCACAAUACUCAGUUUCUCUAAUUUUUCUGACCCAGUCUUGACUCAGUUUCUCUGCUUCUCAAAGCUCAGUCUGUAAAACUUCCUCUCCCUCUUUAUCAGAAUAUUUGAUAAGGAUAAAAGAUCUUAUGUUUUAGAAUAUCAAAAUGCCUCUUCCCAUCCCAAGCCAUUGGAAUGUCAGAUACCGUCUAAUCAAGAUGCCCCUUCCCAUGUCCAGGGUACCUCCCCCUAUUAUGUCAUCCCUCUCCAGAGGCUCACCCCAUCCUGAUAGAGUCCUGUUCCUGCUCUCAGCACCCUGACUCCACCCCUGCCUCAGUCUACCCCCUGAGUCUGAGCCAUGUGUAUAUAGGUCAUCGAGAACUCUCAUUGUUAGCUGGAUUCAUGGAGAUAAUAGCCCUGGGACCAAACCAUGGAUCCAUUUGGUCCCAGUAAAUCUCUCCUAUUUAAUAAAUUAUUAA
Sarcophilus harrisii (Tasmanian devil) is the source of this 13958-nucleotide long non-coding RNA. The record is from Ensembl. NCBI's taxonomy places the organism in Eukaryota, Metazoa, Chordata, Mammalia, Dasyuromorphia, Dasyuridae.